AAAAUAGUCAGAAUGGGUUAUGGUAAAAGGGACCUGAAACAGUGAGAAAGGGAGGAGAAGGGAAGAAAGAUUAAGGCAGACAGGGGAACCUGUGGAGAGAGCGAGAGCUAGAGACAGAAGGAGAGAAGAGGCAGGGCCAUGGAAACAGAGGCAGCGUCUCUCCAAGUCCUUCUCAAAGACACUGGAAGAGUUCGGGAAACCAAACAGGUCAGAAUUAUCUUGAUGCCUUCCCAGACCAAAGCUGGUUGGCUGCUUCUUCCACCACUCUGACGGAACUCAGCUCAGUCCAUCAUCUCCACCCCAUAGAAGGAACCCCAGUUGGCCAGCAUGGUUUCCCUGACAGGGGAAGUGUUUCUUCAAGCUCAGAAGGGUUGACAAAGUGGAAACUGCCCACCCUGGAGGUGGCCUCUUCUCCCCAAGGCCAGCACAGAAUUCUCCUCAGCCGUGGCAUUCUCUUGGAGAGCAUCUUGAUGCAGAUGAAGGGUGCUAUAUAAAUCAAUGGAUCAUAAGUCUGUUGGACAGCACUUAGAUAGGUAAAUUCAUGUGUGUUAUUCACUCAGUGAACCUUCCUAAAAAAGAUAAUAUGCUCCGUAUCUCACCGUGCUGACAUAUUUCAACUCAAUUGAUAAUGGGUCAGGAUUGAGCAAAGCUUACAGAGUGAAUUACCUUUUAGCCAUCCCUUCCAGUUUAGGGUUGCAGUCACCAACAAAAUCAAUGUCGAAGGAUUCUUGUUGUCUCAGACAAUACCAACAAUGACUCCUAAUGAAAUAAACCAUUGAAGCCUUUUAAUCAGACCACCUGCCUAAAAGGAGGAAGCCAUCCAGAGGAGGCUGGGGCUCUAGGGACCUAUUUUCCCCUUACCGGUCAACGCAUGAGUGAUUCUUUAAUUGUAGUAAUGAUGUGCUUACCCUGGACCCAGACACUCGGGCAGCAAGAGGCAGCAAUUCUCUGGGGCAGAAGGUUGGCGUGACCUCAGCUGGGGCUGCACAGGUCCCAGAGCAGGGCUGCAUCACCAGGGGCCAUGCAAAUGCCUCCAGGUUAGGGGCCUGUUUGACUCCCAGACAUGUGAUAAAUCUUAUUGAAAGAAAGCCCUGCAAUAAAUGAGCCCUGCUCUGCAUCUGAAUUCUAGGGUCACUGUUACAAAAAUAGGAGCUGGCUGCAAAUGUGACCACCAAUGGGCUUCUGCCCCUACCCCUUGCUCUUCCCUCCUCCCCAGCCUGCAAAUUUCUGAAAAAUUAGCUAACAUCACCUUAAAUAUAUUUAAAUAUUAGGAAGCUGAAGGGAAUCCAGAAACAUAAGAAUUGACCUAGAAGCUCUCUGCAAGGCUCUCUUUUGUGUCCACUGAUUCACUCUGAGGCACAUUUAUGGUUUCCUUCUUCUUUAUGGAUCAUCCCCAGAUUUUCUUUGGAAAUUCAUCUUUUCCUCAUGCUCCUGUCUGAGUGUGCUCUUCUCUUAGCUCCAUGGUGGACCUAGGAUUCAAGUCUGUAUUAGUCUGUUCUGCAUUGCUAUAAAGGAAUAUCUGAGGCUGGGUAGUUUACAAAGAAAAGAGGUUUAUUUGGCUCAUGGUUCCACAGGCUGUACAAGCAUGGCACCAUGAAUUUCUUCUGGAGAGGCCUCUAGAAGAUUUUACUCAUUGCAGAAGGGGGAGGGGGGCAGGCAGGUCACAUGGCAAGAGGGAGCAAGAGACAUGCUAGGCUCUUUGAAACAACCAGCUCCCAUGUGAACUAAUAGGAGUGAGGACUCACUCAUUACCAUGGGGAGGGCACCAAGCCAUUGAUGAGGGAUCCAUGGGACCGAAACAUCUCCCACCAGGCCCUACCUCCAACACUGGGGAUCUCAUUUCAGCCUGAGAUAAGAAGGGUGCAAAACAUUCCAAUGAUAUCAAGGUCUAACUUAGUCAGUAGUUGAUUCCCUAAUGAAUCUCAUCCUGUCAACCAGAGUGUCAACUCAGGGCUUCUAAUGGGGUGACUAACAGAGAAAGACCUUGUUCUCUCUUUCCGAGCAGACAUGGACCUGUGGAGUGUGUUUCUGGUUGGUCAUUAGCUGGUGGAAAGCCCAUCUGAAAAUGUGAC
This 2072-nucleotide long non-coding RNA is filed under the name Macaca mulatta (Rhesus monkey). RNAcentral describes it as "lncRNA (ENSMMUG00000062377.1)". The record is from RNAcentral. Lineage: Eukaryota; Metazoa; Chordata; Mammalia; Primates; Cercopithecidae.